GGACCGAGCAAGAUGCCACACACACAGGCCAGAGGCCACUGUCUCAAAUAAGAUUCUGGCCAUGGUUUUGUAAACUAUGAUUGGCAGCCCAAAAAUUAUUGCAACCUUUUUUUUCUGUCCUCCUCCUGCCGCUGAUGAUGUCCAGCAUCUUGCAGAUGCCCACUAGAAAGAAAGAACACCCCCAUGUUAUUUUUUGGCUACUUGGGCAUGCACAAAAGGAGAACCUUAUCUACACUCCACCAACUCAUCAGAUGAUGAGUGAGCUUAUCUAGCAGUAGAAGCAAGUCGUCAUCAAACUUUUCAUCAUGGUUUGCAACAGGACAGAAGGGAAAGAUGACAGGGGAGAAGGGGGGGAGCAGCAGCAGAUUGGUAAAAGCUGUAAAGCUUUGCACUUUGCAUCAGUACAUGCGAAUUUCAGGAUCAACAUGGUCCAUCCCAAUCCAAGGGCAACGGUAUUUUAAUUUUCCCCUCACAAAUCACCUAGAGAAAGAUAGUUUCAAAUUACCAAAGUAAGAAGAAAAUACUACUCAAGAACUCCCAGAUCUCUCAGAUUAACUGUAUACCUGGCUGGCAUACCUGAGAUCAGCCAGGUGACUAGAUUCUACAUGUAGUAAGGCUGCAGAUUAUCAAGAACUGGUGUUUUUUGCUCAUCGUCACAUGGACUUGUACAGAAAAGUUAUUUUUUUUUCUCACCAUCAGGGUUGAAGAAGCACUUUGCGGCAAAGAAGAAGAAGAAGCACGGCAAGAAGUUAAGCAAGGAAGAACUAGCCUAGUACUAGUAGUAAGUAGGAGUAGCAAACAUCUCAUCAGUAACUCACAUCCUUCCUCGCUAGCUGCUACACAGCAUCCAUGGCGAUGCCAAGUACCAUCCGGUCGGGCCAAGCUAGCCGGGCCGGACGCGCUUCUGUCCGGCGGCGGCGGCGCGGCCGGCGGCAUCGGAGGAGCGCAGCGUGCCCGAGGAGUCGCCCUCCGAGGAGCCGCCGUCCAUGGCGGCGCCACGGUGCGCGAAGGAGGCAGAGAGGUCGGCGUAGAGGCCGACGACGCGGCGGAUGUUGUUGUUGAGCUCCCGGAUGAGGCCGACGUUGCGGGUGAGGCUGUCCGGCGCCCGGGACUCGUGGUUCUGGUUGAUCUCGGAGAUGAGCAUCCGGUUCUGGUCCAGGAUGCUCUGCACCUGUACGAAGCUCUUGUGGAACGUCUGGAUCAGCUUCCCGUCCACCACCUGGUGGUGCCCCCCUCCGCCGCCGCCGCCGCCGCCGCCUCCAUUGCCCAUCCCCGAGAAGCUCUCGCCUUCCAUCCCUUUCUCCCUCUCCAAACUCACUCUUGUUGAUUCUUCUUCACCAGAGCUAGCUAGAGUGUCCCCUGAAAUUGACCCAUAAAUUACAAAAUUAGUUGGCUAAACUUUGCAUUUAUGUGGGGAUCGGGCUGUACUGGAAACAAAUAAAGACCCAUCAAGAACAUCUAGUCUACUAGCACAAAGAAUAAAUGUGCGGGUAUUGUACUAGUACAAGGCAAUACUAGCACGCAAUCGAGGCAGCGGGUUGCAUGUGAAAACCAGUGUGAAGAUGAAACCCAAGACAAUAAAUCACCUCUCUGAAUUUCCUCCUAGAAAAUAAAAUCCAAGCAUCAGGGGAGCCGGCCGGCUGGCUCUAUCAUCUAGAAUG
This 1661-nucleotide ribosomal RNA is filed under the name Triticum aestivum (bread wheat). RNAcentral's name for it is "partial small subunit ribosomal RNA". Lineage: Eukaryota; Viridiplantae; Streptophyta; Magnoliopsida; Poales; Poaceae. The record is from RNAcentral.